CUGGGGACUACGGUCGCAAGACUAAAACUCAAAAGGAAUUGACGGGGGCCUGCACAAGCGGUGGAACACGUGGUUUAAUUCGAUGCUACGCGAGGAACCUUACCAGGGCUUGACAUGCUGGAAGUAGCCACCCGAAAGGAUUGGCCACCUGUAACCAAUCAGGAACCAGUGCAGGUGCUGCAUGGCUGUCGUCAGCUCGUGCCGUGAGGUGUUCCCUUAAGUGGGAAAACGAGCGCAACCCUCGUCCUUAGUUGCCACCUUCGAGUAAUCGGAGCGCACUCUAAGGAGACUGCCCGCGUUAAGUGGGAGGAAGGUGUGGAUGACGUCAAGUCCGCAUGGCCCUUAUGCCCUGGGCUACACACGUGUUACAAUGGCGCAUACAAUGGGGGGCUAAGCCGCAAGGUGGAGCAAAUCCUAUAAAGUGUGCCUCAGUUCGGAUUGAGGGCUGCAAUUCGCCCUCAUGAAGCUGGAAUCGCUAGUAAUGGCGCAUCAGCACGGCGCCGUGAAUCGUUCCCAGG
This 518-nucleotide ribosomal RNA is filed under the name uncultured bacterium. RNAcentral describes it as "bacterial SSU rRNA". It matches the Rfam family "Bacterial small subunit ribosomal RNA", at positions 873 to 1378 of the family's 1533-position model. RNAcentral also lists the same sequence under 1 other name. The record is from RNAcentral.